GACGAACGCUGGCGGCGUGCUUAACACAUGCAAGUCGAACGCUGAAGCACCAGCUUGCUGGUGUGGAUGAGUGGCGAACGGGUGAGUAAUACGUGAGUAACCUGCCCUUGACUCUGGGAUAAGCCCGGGAAACUGGGUCUAAUACUGGAUGCUACAUGUCACCGCAUGGUGGUGUGUGGAAAGGGUUUACUGGUCUUGGAUGGGCUCACGGCCUAUCAGCUUGUUGGUGAGGUAAUGGCUCACCAAGGCGACGACGGGUAGCCGGCCUGAGAGGGUGACCGGCCACACCGGGACUGAGACACGGCCCAGACUCCUACGGGAGGCAGCAGUGGGGAAUAUUGCACAAUGGGCGAAAGCCUGAUGCAGCGACGCCGCGUGAGGGAUGACGGCCUUCGGGUUGUAAACCUCUUUCAGCAGGGAAGAAGCCACAAGUGACGGUACCUGCAGAAGAAGCGCCGGCUAACUACGUG
Molecule: ribosomal RNA, 470 nt
Filed under: uncultured bacterium
Lineage: Bacteria
Description: partial 16S ribosomal RNA
Rfam family: Bacterial small subunit ribosomal RNA
Source: RNAcentral